GACGAACGCUGGCGGCGUGCUUAACACAUGCAAGUCGAGCGGUAAGGCCCUUUCGGGGGUACACGAGCGGCGAACGGGUGAGUAACACGUGGGUGACCUGCCCUUAGCUCUGGGAUAAGCCUGGGAAACUGGGUCUAAUACCGGAUAUGACUCCAUGACGCAUGUUGUGGGGUGGAAAGCCUUGUGCGGCUAGGGAUGGGCCCGCGGCCUAUCAGCUUGUUGGUGGGGUGAUGGCCUACCAAGGCGACGACGGGUAGCCGGCCUGAGAGGGCGACCGGCCACACUGGGACUGAGACACGGCCCAGACUCCUACGGGAGGCAGCAGUGGGGAAUCUUGCGCAAUGGGCGAAAGCCUGACGCAGCGACGCCGCGUGAGGGAUGACGGCCUG
RNAcentral lists this ribosomal RNA (389 nucleotides) under uncultured bacterium. RNAcentral describes it as "bacterial SSU rRNA". It matches the Rfam family "Bacterial small subunit ribosomal RNA", at positions 28 to 418 of the family's 1533-position model. The record is from RNAcentral.